This 75-nucleotide transfer RNA is filed under the name Ignavibacteriales bacterium. RNAcentral's name for it is "tRNA-Pro". It matches the Rfam family "tRNA". Rfam says of the family: Transfer RNA (tRNA) molecules are approximately 80 nucleotides in length. Lineage: Bacteria; Pseudomonadati; Ignavibacteriota; Ignavibacteria; Ignavibacteriales. The record is from RNAcentral.
CGGGAUGUAGCGUAGCUCGGCUAGCGCGCCUGCCUUGGGCGCAGGAGGUCCCGGGUUCAAAUCCCGGCAUCCCGA